AAUAAUUUUAAAGCCAUUUUUCUCAGUUGUUAGAGUGUCUGCCCACAGACUGAAGCAUCACCGGUUCCAUUCCCAG
Myotis brandtii (Brandt's bat) is the source of this 76-nucleotide long non-coding RNA. RefSeq lists it as uncharacterized. The transcript has 3 exons. The record is from RefSeq and is a predicted model, not a curated record. Lineage: Eukaryota; Metazoa; Chordata; Mammalia; Chiroptera; Vespertilionidae.